Molecule: long non-coding RNA, 614 nt
Filed under: Salvia miltiorrhiza (redroot sage)
Lineage: Eukaryota; Viridiplantae; Streptophyta; Magnoliopsida; Lamiales; Lamiaceae
Description: long non-coding RNA (SMIL_LNC004826)
Source: RNAcentral
UUACGUUGACCUAUUUGAAUAUUAAUUGAAGUAUAAAUUUUUAUUACAUGAUUUCAGAUGACUAAUAUUAUGUACUAUCUUAUUUUUAAUGAAUAAUUCUUGCAAAUGUUUUUUUUAUAUAUAUGCGAAUUUCUGACUAAUUAGUUGUUAGUUGUGUUUUAUUCAAAGAUUUUGUUGAGGAACCCCCAAAAUCAACUCAGAAUGCAUUAGCUCUGGCAGAUAAACUAGAAGGAAGUAAACGUCGGGGGAAGAGGUACAUUUGACAAAAGAUUCAAAUUUAGAUAGUUCCACACCUAUUCAAAAUUUAAAUUAGUUGUUGCCUUGUACCAGUGAAGUGCCAGACUGUGAAAGGGAGAGGCUCUGGAAAAAAACAAGUUUCCUCAAAAACACCAAAAUGAAGAAGGCAAAGGGAAGAAGAAGCAAAGAAGGACUACGAAUCCAAAGGGGGUGACAUGCAACUAUGCAAGCGUAGUAUGCACCUAUAUAUUGAUGUAUUUUAAUGCUGAUACGAAUAUUCAAUAUUAUAUAGCUAUGUAUUCUAAAUAUAUUUAACAUUGUUCAUUUUAGUUACUGAUACAUCAUAUUUGAUUAAUAACACAAACAUAAAACAAAUU